UCUAGGUGUGCAAAUUGGCCUUGUAAAGUGCAUUGUGAGCCUGGUGCCCAUGGCUCACGCCUGUCAUCCUAGCUACUCAGGAGGCUGAGACCUGAAGAUCGAAGUUC
Dipodomys spectabilis (banner-tailed kangaroo rat) is the source of this 107-nucleotide long non-coding RNA. RefSeq lists it as uncharacterized. NCBI's taxonomy places the organism in Eukaryota, Metazoa, Chordata, Mammalia, Rodentia, Heteromyidae. The record is from RefSeq and is a predicted model, not a curated record. The transcript has 3 exons.